ACAGAGGUCUCAAGCGUUGUUCGGAAUCACUGGGCGUAAAGGGUGCGUAGGCUGCGCCGUAAGUCAGAUGUGAAAGCUCAGGGCUCAACCCUGAAAUUGCAUCCGAUACUGCGGUGCUUGAGAAAUGAAGGGGAGUCUAGAAUUUUCGGUGUAGCAGUGAAAUGCGUAGAUAUCGAAAGGAAUACCAAAGGCGAAGGCAGGACUCUGGGCAUUUUCUGACGCUGAUGCACGAAGGCCAGGGUAGCGAACGGGAUUAGAUACCCCGGUAGUCCUGGCAGUAAACGGUGCACGUUUGGUGUGGGAGGAUUCGACCCCUUCCGUGCCGGAGCUAACGCGUUAAACGUGCCGCCUGGGAAGUACGGUCGCAAGAUUA
RNAcentral lists this ribosomal RNA (373 nucleotides) under uncultured bacterium. RNAcentral describes it as "bacterial SSU rRNA". It matches the Rfam family "Bacterial small subunit ribosomal RNA", at positions 525 to 896 of the family's 1533-position model. The record is from RNAcentral.